This 345-nucleotide unclassified non-coding RNA is filed under the name soil metagenome. RNAcentral describes it as "partial contains 5.8S ribosomal RNA, internal transcribed spacer 2, and large subunit ribosomal RNA". The stretch from base 1 to 120 matches the Rfam family "5.8S ribosomal RNA", at positions 35 to 154 of the family's 154-position model. The record is from RNAcentral.
GAUGAAGAACGUAGCGAAAUGCGAUACGUAAUGUGAAUUGCAGAAUUCAGUGAAUCAUCGAGUCUUUGAACGCACAUUGCGCCCUCUGGUAUUCCGGAGGGCAUGCCUGUCCGAGCGUCAUUGCUGCCCUCAAGCACGGCUUGUGUGUUGGGCCCCGCCCCCCGAUCCCGGGGGGCGGGCCCGAAAGGCAGCGGCGGCACCGCGUCCGGUCCUCGAGCGUAUGGGGCUUUGUCACCCGCUCUGUAGGCCCGGCCGGCGCCGGCCGAUCAACCAAACUUUUUUCCAGGUUGACCUCGGAUCAGGUAGGGAUACCCGCUGAACUUAAGCAUAUCAAUAAGCGGAGGA